RNAcentral lists this long non-coding RNA (341 nucleotides) under Mytilus galloprovincialis (Mediterranean mussel). Lineage: Eukaryota; Metazoa; Mollusca; Bivalvia; Mytilida; Mytilidae. The record is from RNAcentral.
UUUGGCGUCUACAAACUAGUGUAACUCAGUCAUAUUCGGAAUGUAUGUUCCUGUCCCAUGUCAGGAGCCUGCAUUUCAGUGGUUUUCGUUUAUCUAUGUGUUACAUAUUUGUGUUUCGUUCAUUUUUAAAAUGUAAAUAACCGUGAUAAUAAGAAAAACAAAUUAGCUGGAGAAUUUGGUGGGUACACGUUAGCAGCUUGGGAAAAUGAGCCAUUCUUAGAAUAAAGAGGUACACGUAGAAACUGUUACAUUAUGUAUAUGAUAAGAGGUGUGUAUAUGAACAUACAAGGUUUAUUUUAAUAUGUAGUUAAGAUUAUUAUUUCUAAAAUAUCUUUAUAGUU